CCAUCCAAUGUUGCAGAACUGUUUAUCAUAAUGUAGAUGACUUGAAUGCUACUCAGUACUUUUGUUUACACAAUGGUAUCCGUGGUAGCUGUGCUGUGGGGCUGCACCAACCCAUAUCUGAAGAGAGGCACAGAGGGGAUUGAACAUGUUAAAAAGGAGAAUAAGUUCCAUCAGUUCCUGGCUGAGGUCAAGUUCCUGUUUUUAAACAUCAAGCAGAUGCAGCCUAUAACAACAUGUCCCUUUACAUUUGCUGUACCUGAUUGCAUUCCUACUGAAUCAGAGUGGAUCCUUGGUGUACUACUUCACUCUUACCACCACAGGUGAGCUACAUCUAACUAAUAUGACAAGUUGAACUACAGUAUGACUGUUUUACACAUCGACUGCUCAUAAUGUCAUCCUCUAGGUUUCUUUGAUCUCAAAAUCACAUGAUUGACAGCUGUCGGGUAUUUGGCAUCAUUAAAUUGA
This is a non-coding RNA of Salvelinus sp. IW2-2015, 465 nucleotides long. The record is from RefSeq and is a predicted model, not a curated record. Lineage: Eukaryota; Metazoa; Chordata; Actinopteri; Salmoniformes; Salmonidae.